GAAUAGCAGUAAAGCUCACGCAGUCUCAGUGUCCCGCUCUGAGUUGUCGCCUUCUGGAGUCGCAGGAGUGGUAUAUAGAAUAUGUUUGUGAUAGGGCCAAUUCCUGUAUUGGCCUUGCUCUUCACAACUAUCUUACCCGAAGUUGCUGAAACAGAAAGCGUAGUGAAUGGCAUGACGUCGAACGUGGAAGGAUUCUCUGGACUGGACGGCCGCCUACACAGCCCUGCCGUGGAAGACCGCGUUAAAACGCGAGAGUUAAAACCCAAUGAACCUCCGAUUCGGUGUGCAGCGCUGUGUGUCCUUCCGCCAUUUCUUGUUUUCGUUUUUCAUCUGCGCUGUUUCUUCAGGACCGGACAGCUUUCGUCAUGGAGACUUGGGUCAAUCAUUAUCAUACCAGUCAAAGAAACCACCUAUCAUGGCUCGUGGAAUUAUGGGAAAGCAGCUCAUUUGUGAGAUCGUCGGAGGAUAUUGCUUGCAAAAGUGCACUAGGUUGAAAACCCGCAGGACCGACGCAAGCUGCAUCGGUAACCUCAAAUGCUGCGUGAGCACAAAACAGCGCUCAAGUCAUCUGCGAUAGAGGUUACAAAGAAAGGGAAUAUGAUAAUUGCAAAAUGAGCUGGGUAUGAUUGUAUGGUCUAUCACGAAUCAUAGAAUAGUAGAGAUUUCAAACAAAAUAUACGCUAAUAUCUUCAUAUAAAUUUACAGAAAGAUAAUAAAUGUACUGA
This is a long non-coding RNA of Rhipicephalus sanguineus (brown dog tick), 725 nucleotides long. RefSeq lists it as uncharacterized. The record is from RefSeq and is a predicted model, not a curated record. NCBI's taxonomy places the organism in Eukaryota, Metazoa, Arthropoda, Arachnida, Ixodida, Ixodidae. The transcript has 5 exons.